This 294-nucleotide long non-coding RNA is filed under the name Ananas comosus (pineapple). RNAcentral describes it as "long non-coding RNA (ACOM_LNC018220)". The record is from RNAcentral. Lineage: Eukaryota; Viridiplantae; Streptophyta; Magnoliopsida; Poales; Bromeliaceae.
UAAAAAGAUUAGAUAUUCAACUCAUAAAUUAUUUUUUUUCAUAUUAUAAUACUAUAUUUCAUAUAAUUAUUUUGUACUUUGAACUAUUAGCCAUAUUUUUAUAUCAAAUUAUAGAUAAUGUUUUAUACAAAUUAAACUAUUGAUCGUAUGAUGUUGAGAAUUUCAAGCGGCUCGUUUAGGGCUCGAGCUCGCUCGACUCGAAAUUAGGCUCGCUCGAGCUCGGCUCGAAUUAAUUUCAAUCCAAACUUGAGCUUAAAUUUAUGCUCGAAAUUAAUUUCAAGCAGAAUUUGAGCC